AUUGAACGCUGGCGGCAGGCCUAACACAUGCAAGUCGAGCGGAUAAAGGGAGCUUGCUCCUGGAUUCAGCGGCGGACGGGUGAGUAAUGCCUAGGAAUCUGCCUGGUAGUGGGGGAUAACGUCCGGAAACGGGCGCUAACACCGCAUACGUCCUGAGGGAGAAAGUGGGGGAUCUUCGGACCUCACGCUAUCAGAUGAGCCUAGGUCGGAUUAGCUAGUUGGUGGGGUAAAGGCCUACCAAGGCGACGAUCCGUAACUGGUCUGAGAGGAUGAUCAGUCACACUGGAACUGAGACACGGUCCAGACUCCUACGGGAGGCAGCAGUGGGGAAUAUUGGACAAUGGGCGAAAGCCUGAUCCAGCCAUGCCGCGUGUGUGAAGAAGGUCUUCGGAUUGUAAAGCACUUUAAGUUGGGAGGAAGGGCAGUAAGUUAAUACCUUGCUGUUUUGACGUUACCAACAGAAUAAGCACCGGCUAACUUCGUG
This 484-nucleotide ribosomal RNA is filed under the name uncultured bacterium. RNAcentral's name for it is "partial 16S ribosomal RNA". It matches the Rfam family "Bacterial small subunit ribosomal RNA", at positions 30 to 507 of the family's 1533-position model. The record is from RNAcentral.